Molecule: long non-coding RNA, 249 nt
Filed under: Solanum tuberosum (potato)
Lineage: Eukaryota; Viridiplantae; Streptophyta; Magnoliopsida; Solanales; Solanaceae
Description: long non-coding RNA (STUB_LNC000574)
Source: RNAcentral
UUUUUGUACAGAGUUUUUGAAGGGGAACGAUUGAGGUGAUCAAUUACUAGCAACAAGAUGCUUAACCUAUGGAUUGAUGGUUUUACAAAGCUAUUUCAUAUUUUAUUCAAGAAAUUAAGAUAUCUAAUCCAAUUAGGAGUUGAUAAAAUGUGAAAAGCAGGUGGUUUUGAAAUUACUAGUAUCUAGUUAGAUUUCAAUUUUACUUGAGAUAGAACACAUUAUUUACUUUGAGAUCAUUUAACUUUUACA